RNAcentral lists this small nuclear RNA (120 nucleotides) under Capra hircus (goat). Its description in RNAcentral is "U4 spliceosomal RNA (ENSCHIG00000003417.1)". It matches the Rfam family "U4 spliceosomal RNA". From Rfam's summary of the family: U4 small nuclear RNA (U4 snRNA) is a component of the major U2-dependent spliceosome. The record is from RNAcentral. Lineage: Eukaryota; Metazoa; Chordata; Mammalia; Artiodactyla; Bovidae.
AGCUUUGCGCAGUGGCAGUAUCGUAGCCAAUGAGGUUUAUCCGAGGCGCGAUUAUUGCUAAUUGUAAACAUAAGUAAACUAUACAUCAACAGCAGACAGAUUUGGUCAUAGCAUAAAUUA